GAUGAACGCUGGCGGCGUGCCUAAUACAUGCAAGUCGAGCGAACGGACGAGAAGCUUGCUUCUCUGAUGUUAGCGGCGGACGGGUGAGUAACACGUGGAUAACCUACCUAUAAGACUGGGAUAACUUCGGGAAACCGGAGCUAAUACCGGAUAAUAUUUUGAACCGCAUGGUUCAAAAGUGAAAGACGGUCUUGCUGUCACUUAUAGAUGGAUCCGCGCUGCAUUAGCUAGUUGGUAAGGUAACGGCUUACCAAGGCAACGAUGCAUAGCCGACCUGAGAGGGUGAUCGGCCACACUGGAACUGAGACACGGUCCAGACUCCUACGGGAGGCAGCAGUAGGGAAUCUUCCGCAAUGGGCGAAAGCCUGACGGAGCAACGCCGCGUGAGUGAUGAAGGUCUUCGGAUCGUAAAACUCUGUUAUUAGGGAAGAACAUAUGUGUAAGUAACUGUGCACAUCUUGACGGUACCUAAUCAGAAAGCCACGGCUAACUACGUGCCAGCAGCCGCGGUAAUACGUAGGUGGCAAGCGUUAUCCGGAAUUAUUGGGCGUAAAGCGCGCGUAGGCGGUUUUUUAAGUCUGAUGUGAAAGCCCACGGCUCAACCGUGGAGGGUCAUUGGAAACUGGAAAACUUGAGUGCAGAAGAGGAAAGUGGAAUUCCAUGUGUAGCGGUGAAAUGCGCAGAGAUAUGGAGGAACACCAGUGGCGAAGGCGACUUUCUGGUCUGUAACUGACGCUGAUGUGCGAAAGCGUGGGGAUUAAACAGGAUUAGAUACCCUGGUAGUCCACGCCGUAAACGAUGAGUGCUAAGUGUUAGGGGGUUUCCGCCCCUUAGUGCUGCAGCUAACGCAUUAAGCACUCCGCCUGGGGAGUACGACCGCAAGGUUGAAACUCAAAGGAAUUGACGGGGACCCGCACAAGCGGUGGAGCAUGUGGUUUAAUUCGAAGCAACGCGAAGAACCUUACCAAAUCUUGACAUCCUUUGACAACUCUAGAGAUAGAGCCUUCCCCUUCGGGGGACAAAGUGACAGGUGGUGCAUGGUUGUCGUCAGCUCGUGUCGUGAGAUGUUGGGUUAAGUCCCGCAACGAGCGCAACCCUUAAGCUUAGUUGCCAUCAUUAAGUUGGGCACUCUAAGUUGACUGCCGGUGACAAACCGGAGGAAGGUGGGGAUGACGUCAAAUCAUCAUGCCCCUUAUGAUUUGGGCUACACACGUGCUACAAUGGACAAUACAAAGGGCAGCGAAACCGCGAGGUCAAGCAAAUCCCAUAAAGUUGUUCUCAGUUCGGAUUGUAGUCUGCAACUCGACUACAUGAAGCUGGAAUCGCUAGUAAUCGUAAAUCGGCAUGCUACGGUGAAUACGUUCCCGGG
This 1369-nucleotide ribosomal RNA is filed under the name uncultured bacterium. RNAcentral describes it as "16S ribosomal RNA". It matches the Rfam family "Bacterial small subunit ribosomal RNA", at positions 28 to 1378 of the family's 1533-position model. The record is from RNAcentral.